AUUGUAAAAUCAGAAGAAAGCUCUAUCAUUUUAAGUCAAAUCGACUCAUUUUUCGAAUCUCCAUCCUGGGCUUGAAAUGAUGAGACAUUCUUACUAAGCUGAUAUUUACAAUUGGAUCUGGAGUCAACGGAAAGCUUCCAUGGCGAAACUACCAAGUCAUUUCCCGUUUUAUUGUCCUUUUCAAAGCUUGAUCCUGAACGGGGGAAAGGAAAGAAGCUCAUUGAGUUGAAGCAAUCUUUGGUGGCAAGUCUAGAAGACCAAAGGAAGAGAAGAGAAAUGAAGAAGUAGAGCAAGACAUCGGGAGAUCAAGAAAAAAGAAAUUAGAAGAAGAUGACAAAGGAGAUCUGGGUUCCCAGGAAGCCCUGAAACAGGCAUGUUCUCAAGUGGAAGAUGCACAAAUGAAUAUGUUAAGAAACCAGAAUGAGGACCUUGCACAGCAAGUGGAAGCAGCAUCUUCAAAAUGUAUCCAAUCGGAAUGGACAAUGUGAGGUCUUCGUCGAGAGUUACUUUCUAAGGAAAGUGUGGAAGAGAAAAAUGGCAAACUGGAAAAGGAAAAGAGCCAAUUGGAAGAAGAAAUAGCUAAUCUGAAGCAUCGUUUUAAAAUGACUAUGCUAGAGCACAGACAAGUGGAACAAUACAAAUCUGAGGUGGAUGAACAAGCAACACAAGAGAUUAUAGGAAAACUGAGAACAAUCAAACUAUUUUUGCAGACACAAGCAGCAUUCCAAAACAACACAGAACAAUUAAGAGAAAAUCACCAAGCUCCAAGAGGAAAUGAAAUGGAGUGGCGAAUGAAACAUAGAAACUGAACUGUCCACAUUAAAAAGCUCACAUCGAGAUGCUGAGGAACAGCUUGAGAGACACGCACAAGUCUAUUUUAAGGAACUAAAAGCCAAUGAAUCAUUAUCCAAGGAAUUAGAUAG
RNAcentral lists this long non-coding RNA (923 nucleotides) under Monodelphis domestica (gray short-tailed opossum). RNAcentral describes it as "lncRNA (ENSMODG00000038724.1)". The record is from RNAcentral. Lineage: Eukaryota; Metazoa; Chordata; Mammalia; Didelphimorphia; Didelphidae.